UACGGAGGGAGCUAGCGUUGUUCGGAAAUACUGGGCGUAAAGCGCACGUAGGCGGCGCAGCAAGUCAGGGGUGAAAUCCCGGGGCUCAACCUCGGAACUGCCCUUGAAACUGCAGUGCUAGAAUCUUGGAGAGGCGAGUGGAAUUCCGAGUGUAGAGGUGAAAUUCGUAGAUAUUCGGAAGAACACCAGUGGCGAAGGCGACUCGCUGGACAAGUAUUGACGCUGAGGUGCGAAAGCGUGGGGGGCAAACAGG
Molecule: ribosomal RNA, 253 nt
Filed under: uncultured bacterium
Lineage: Bacteria
Description: partial 16S ribosomal RNA
Rfam family: Bacterial small subunit ribosomal RNA
Source: RNAcentral